CGAAUUGUAAUCUAGAGAAGUGUAACCUGUGCUGGACCAUGUACAAGUCUCCUGGAAUGGAGCAUCAUAGAGGGUGAGAAUCCUGUCUUUGACAUGGACUACCAGUGCAAUGUGGUGUGCUCUCAAAGAGUCGAGUUGUUUGGGAAUGCAGCUCUAAAUGGGUGGUAAACUCCAUCUAAAGCUAAAUAUUGGCAAGAGACCGAUAGCGAACAAGUACCGUGAGGGAAAGAUGAAAAGAACUUUGGAAAGAGAGUUAAACAGUAUGUGAAAUUGUUGAAAGGGAAACACUUAAAGUCAGUGAUGUCGGCCAGGGAUCAAGCCAGCAUUUUGCUGGGUGUACUUCCUGAUCUGACAGGUCAACAUGAGUUUUGACUGCUGGAAAAGGAUAGGGGGAAUGUGGCACCUUCGGGUGUGUUAUAGCUCUCUGUCAGAUGCAGUGGUUGGGACUGAGGAAGGCAGCACGCCAUUUGGCCGAGUCGUUUCGACUACGUUCGUGCUGAGGAUGUUGGCAUAAUGGCUUUAAUUGACCCGUCUUGAAACACGGACCAAGGAGUCUAACAUGGCUGCGAGUGUUUGGGUGGCAAACCCUUGCGCGAAAUGAAAGUGAAAAGUUGAGAUCCCUGUCAUAGGGAGCAUCGAUGCCCGGACCUGAGCUUUCAGCAAAGGAUCUGCGGUAGAGCAAGCAUGUUAGGACCCGAAAGAUGGUGAACUAUGCCUGAAUAGGGUGAAGCCAGAGGAAACUCUGGUGGAGGCUCGUAGCGAUUCUGACGUGCAAAUCGAUCGUCAAAUUUGGGUAUAGGGGCGAAAG
RNAcentral lists this ribosomal RNA (808 nucleotides) under Amanita farinosa. RNAcentral describes it as "eukaryotic LSU rRNA". It matches the Rfam family "Eukaryotic large subunit ribosomal RNA", at positions 139 to 929 of the family's 3401-position model. Lineage: Eukaryota; Fungi; Basidiomycota; Agaricomycetes; Agaricales; Amanitaceae. The record is from RNAcentral.